This 10192-nucleotide long non-coding RNA is filed under the name Homo sapiens (human). RNAcentral describes it as "non-protein coding lnc-SLC25A37-1:7". The record is from RNAcentral. Lineage: Eukaryota; Metazoa; Chordata; Mammalia; Primates; Hominidae.
GCGGGAUGAUUGGCGUCCGAGCGCUGGGCUGUUCCGUGGACCCGCGCGGCCACGCCAGUGUGCUGUGCACGGGAAAUGUGGACGUGGGAGCACGGAGGCACCCAGUACUGUGGCGUGGUGCUCGUCUGGUCGUCAGCGAGCCUCAGCGUACUUAGGACACCGCAGUUUAUCUUUCCUUAGCGCUCCUAACGGUUAUGGAAAAUAGCGCUUGAAAACCUGGUAAGGACUAGGCAUUGUUGCUCAACUCUUGACAUUUACACCUUUGCCGGUAACUCUCCCUGUUUCACAGAUGGGGAAACGGAGGCUCACACUUAUUCAGUCUCUCUUGAGAUCCACCUGAUUCGUGAGAGGUAGAGCCAGGAUUUCAUUCUUGCCCGUCGAUGGCAUAUGUUAGUGCCUAUGUUGGGGGAGGCAGACUGCCCCAGCCCUCCCCAACACACGCAAUGGUUAUGAGAAGAAAUAAAGCGAAGGGUGUUCCUGAGAUUGACCCCAUGACCUACACUUAGUACAAGGCUAAGCUCUCUUAGCUCUCUGGCUUAGCAAUAAACUGCUUUGAAGACACAGAACUUUGCACUUGAGAGCCGGAAGAGACCUUGGGAAUCCCGGGUUCCAUCCUUUCUUCCACCUUGUAUACAGGUGAAUGCACUGUGGCCCAGAGAUAGGAAGUGACCAGCAAUCCAGCCACUUUAAAAGAUUUUUAAAAACAAGAGCCCUAGAAACGUCUACUCCAUUCCAUUUAUCAAGUAAAACAAGCAUAGACAGAACUGGCAGUUCUACAUCUUAACACAGAAUCCUUCUUGGUCCAGCACCCGCCUGGGUCACCUCCUCUUCCUGGAUUCAGCUACUGUUAACGGAAGAAACCAUGAAGCCUCAGAAGGUUAGAGCCAAAGGGACUCUACUGUGUAGCCCCAAUCACCUUCUUUUACAGUUAAGAGCCUGGAACCCAGAGAGGUUGAGUGACUUGGCCAAGACCCCCUGGAGGCAGAGGAGAGCAGAACCAAUGUUUCAGACUCCCACAUGACUUGCGCAUCAGUGUCUUUUUUUUGACAAUCUGUUGCUAUAAGAAAUUACUCGUUUGGAUAAUUUUCACACUAGAAAACCCUGUGACCCAAGGCUAGCAUUGAGAAGCUAAAGCUGGCCACUGACAUACUGUGAUUUUAAGGACAGUCUCCUUCGAAAUUAUCUGCCUUUCAAAAUCUUUGCCAUUGGAGACACUGGUUGGGGUUAUGUUAGUCUUCCUUAAGGAGGGCUCUACUAAAAUGCCAGACUAGGCCGGGCAUGGUGGCUCAUGCCUGUAAUCCCAGCACUUUGGGAGUCCAAGGCAGGUGGAUUGCCUGAAAUUAGGAGUUCAAGACCAGCCUGACCAACAUGGUGAAACCCCAUCUCUAUUAAAAAUACAAACACUAGCUGGACAUAGUGGCUUUUUUGUGCCUGUAAUCCCAGCUACUCAGGAGGCUGAGACAGGAGAAUUGCUUGAACCCGGGAGGUGGAGGUUGCAGUGAGCCGAGAUCACGCCAAUGGACUCCAGCCUGAGCAACAGAGUGAGACUCCAUCUCAGAGAGAGAGAGAAGAAAAGCCAGACUAGUCAACAUUCAGACAUACAAGACGGAGAUCACCAUGCGAACCCAGCCUGGCCCUUAGAUGUGUGUGCUCGAGCCAGGAUCAUCCAGAGUCUGAUAGCGCCUGCACCCCAACACGGUUGGAUUCCAGGACGCCAGUGCCAAACCCAGAGAAAGGACAACCAGCUUCCAUGCAUUUGCAUUUAAUUUUUAAAAACAAUACAUAUUUCAGUGUUAACUUCCUCCCCUCACCUGGCUUGAAAUAUUUUCCCCAUUUUCUAGGGAAACAAAAUCUACCAAAAGGUGCCGCCUGCAAGACCCCGGGCCCAGCCACUUCUGGAGGGUGGUGCUGUGUGGACUCCUCUGGGGCCAGGACAGGGCCCCUUCCUGGGCUCCUCUUCAGAUGCAGCUUUGCCACUGUUUGUAUCUGUUGCUUAGAAAAUCGUCUUUAAUGUUUCAAGUGAGGAAAGGGUUUCCAGUCACCUCCUAGAUUUCACACCGGGACACACACCUGGGUCAGGUGAGCAUGACAGAGCCCCCAGGAUGGGCACCUGACUCUGCAGACCAGAGGCCAGUGCCGGUGGGGGCCAUGGCAGUGCCCUGGGCACACACACUCUGCACACUGUGGGCUCAGUGGUUCCUUCUGUGCACCUGCUAGGAAAGCUCCUGAAGGUCCCUGCCCGACUUGUCAAGAAAUCAGAAGCCGUUUUAGAGCCACAUUUUAUUGUACUUGUUGCUUCACCGCUGGACAGCAGCAUGACAUGCUUUGUGCAUGAUGUAUACAUAUACAUACAUGUACACACAAGGACACACCACAGCCUGCACUCACAGCAUGUGACAACACGAACCGUUGCUGGUAAGGACAGUAAAAAUGUAGCUUUUGCCAAUUCCACAGGACAAUGACUCACAACCAAAAUAACAGGCACAGAUCAGUCCUGCGCCACACUAUUUGGGUUCCCAGCUCCAAAUACUGGGAGUGAGAUCAGUGACUUCGUGUCCCCUCAUGAGAUGUCCCCACAGUAGGAUGCACUGAGCCAGAGCUAAGGGAGGGCGGACAAGCCCCACGUUGAACUCUGCCUGCAGCACCUGGACCCUCCCGGGGCAGCCUGCAUGCUGAUGCCCCUGCAGCACAAGGCUCGCCCGGAACAGAACGCCCUGGGCUCGGCAGGACAACGGGUGCCACCACUGGCAACACGUAGCACCUGAGAGCAGCCUCGACUGCGUGAGGCUCCAGGGCCUUCCCUGGAUGGCAGCAGCUGACGUGGAGAUGAAGCUUCCUGCUGGGCACAUGCACAUGCCAGUUUCUUUUCCUAAUAGGUCCCCACUGGGUGCUGGCUGCAUCAACUGAACAUCAGAGAACUAGGAAAGUUCACAAACACUGAGCAGUAGUAUCUAAAGCAGUUUAAAAAUAAAGCCAAAAGGAAGACCAAAAAAUCCCUCAUCACUGAGCGGAGACAAAUCUACAUACCAGCAGCUGCCUUGAAAGGGCCGGCGGGGCCGCUCCCAUGCCUCCUGCAGGUCAGAAGCAAUCAGUGCUGCCUGGACCCCCUUGUGAACCGAACAUGCCUCAAAAACACGACGACCCCAGCAGGCCCCUGGCAGCACCCAGCAGCAGCGUCCAAUGGGACGUUCUGUGCCCAUGGCCACAGUGGCUCACAAGCAUCAUCCGCAGCCCAAGAGUGAGGAGUCAGGGUCCUGUCACUGCCACCAGCAGGCAGGGGUGCUGGGGGCAUUCUGAUCUGUUAGCAUGUGGACAAGGAGGCGCGUAAGCUGCCCCCGGGGACUCACCACCUCUUUUAAUUAAUAGGGAAACAGUCCACUCAAGAAAAAGAGAAAACCUGGGAAGUUCUUUUUCCUGAAUUAAGACAAGGCCUUAAAACCUAAAGGGCAGAACACCGGAAACAGUUUUGCUUCCAGGUCAGGCAGUGGGAGGAACUCCAGGCCCCGAGUGUCUGGGCUUCCUAGGUGUCUUAUAAUCACAAUCACCACUGUGAGAAUUUUCAUGGCCAUGAUUUAUUUAGGUUUUACAAAUUCUGUAGGAACUGGGUUCCACAAACCUCCAGACCUGCUCCUCUUUCCCACCCUACCCCACCCUUUGCGGGGAGCUGCAUGGUUCUAAAAAAUGGUCCAUUGGACUCUGUAACUGAAAAGCCACCUGGCAAGGGGCCCACUUUGAUGGGUACCAAAGGGCCUUGGAGUGUUCUAGCCACAGAGCUGUGUGCAGGCACAACAGAGGGCCUGGUGGGGCUGAGCCAGGCCCCCUGACAGGUGGCUUUCUACUUUAGGUCCAAGCUUAGAACCUGGCUCUUGGCCAGUCUGGGGAAAAAUAACUCACUUCCUAAGCUACAUCUGCAAAAAUUGCAAAGGCUGAGUACAGCCAGCAUUUGAGGCUGAACUUGCUGCUGUGUUGAACGGCACGGAGGCACCCCAACGUCUCGCUGCCUCGCAUUUCAGGAUGGGCCAAACAAUGAAUUUCUUAUUCUUUUAGGAGAGGUCUGAUUUUGACAAAUUAUUUCUAAUUUAAUAUCACAGUGCAUAGCUCUCCUCUCAUCAAAGGUCUUCAUGAUCAUUUUAGGGAGAAAAACCAAAGAAAAGUGAGACAAACAAAACUGCCCCAGGACUUGGUGCUGGCAGCCAGCUCAUCACCCACAUGGGGAUCCGCAAUAGGGGUCAGCUGGGGGCCCUCAACCAGCACCCCGCUCCUAAGCACGUCCAGAUUUGUCCUCACCCAUGUCCCUUCUGGCAACUUCCUGGUCAACCUCAACCCACCCCUCUGCACAGCCUUGGGUGGGCCGCUGAGGGCCAUGAGUGAGCUGGGGCCAUGAGUCAGCAGGCAGGCCGGGAAAAAGGGCCUCAGGAGACUCAUCUGGUUGGUCCCAGCCAGAGCCACCACACACAGCCUCUUCCUCAGCUUCAUCUCUGCUGAGAACUCUGCAGCGGCCACCAUGGAUGUUCUGCAGAAGCCAGGCCCACUGAGUCUGCAGCAUGGGGCCAAAGGCAGGCCCAGCAUAUCCCGUGAGCCACAGAGUGGGGGCAGCUCUGAGCCCUCGGCCAGCACAGGGACAUCAGACCCGUUUCCCCCACUCCUCUACCCAGGGCGCCACCAACAAGGUCUAGGACAGACAAAAGACUGACUUCCAAUGGUCCACACGUGGAUUCCGUGGUCUGGCUGCUGGCCUCCCAGGGACCCAACCCUUCUGAGCCAGAGGGGUCACUCUGGUCCAGUCAGUCCUUCCUCCAGGGACAUAACGAAUCUGGCUCUGCCUGAAUCAUCGAUGACAGGGCAAAGGCAACUGGAGCAGAUGGGAGCUCUGGCAAACACGGGAGGAGGGUCUUGGAAGAGCCCCCGUCCCCAGCGGCUAGAUGCUUACACAUGGACGAUCUACUCUCCUGACUGUGGCUCAUCAGGCUGGUGCUACCAUCUGUGGUUGUAAAGGUCCAAAGAGGGCUACGGAAAGGACAGGUGGGCUGGAAGGAAUGUGGAGAAUGACCCCAGGACAGGGGAGGAGGAGACUGGCCCCAUCAAUCCAGUUCACAGCCGGGAAAAGUGCAGGAAGACAGACAAACGACCCCAAUGUGGGCGAAGGACACACCUCCAAGGACUGGAGCCGCAGAGUCCACGUGACAAGGAGACCCAGGAUAGAAACACUGUGCGGAGGACACGGUGUCAACCUCGGAAGGGGCCUCCUAUGCUUUCCACACCAAAUUCCCCCACGGGAGAAACCCUGCCACAAGGCCCAGGAAACCACAGACCCCAAGCCAACUGUGCCUAGCACAGACACCAAGGAAUGACAGCGAUGCCAGUGACGCCAGGAGGACUUGGCCCCUAGCCCCAUCAUCGGCUGUAUGAUGAUCGGUGUGUCUGCGGCCUCCCUCUCGUCAGACUGCAGCCUUGGGGGACACGUAGAACUCUGUCUCCUCGCCCUCAGGGGCCUUGAGCUUACACUUCCCGCAGCACAGCAGCGGUUGAAGCAGCACCACAGACAGCAGCAGCAGUAGCAGCAGGUGAGGAGGCUGCAGAAGACAAACAGGGCCUUGGCCCCCCCGGCUGGACAGCACGAGGAAAAACAAAGAUCCCCAAAGUCCAUUUCGCUCCGAGGUCAGUGGACACAGCUCUGUGACUGUCCUGUGCUGUGUGGGUCUGUAGAAGGGCCAGUCAUGGGCCAUCGAGCUACUCACAGCCAACUGCACCCAAGUCCAAGCCUGGCUCUGUUCCCAUACACAGAGACAGGAUGGGGGCUGCUGAUCUGGCCUGAAGCCUUGCUCUGGGCACUGAAAACGGGGGCUAUUUCCUUACCUGAAGAUCUGGAAGCAGCAUGUUGACAAAAGCACCAACUGCUCUGCCAUCACGUCCCACUGGGUGUCAGUGGGAAGGCCUAACCAAGGCCUGCCUCCAGUGGCUAUCAGGCAGACGGGCCAGCAGUUCCCCUCCAGGAGCAAGGGACCCUUCUUACCCUUUUGAUCACAUUUCCCUCUCUUAAAGGGGCACUGCUGUGGGAAGGGGUCAUGCCUUGGAUCCUACAGUCAUGGACUGUGGGUGAAACAGGGGCUCUUGACUCUUCACUUCCUAGCCAUAACUCUGCCCAUUGGACCACCCACCCUCCCUGCUGCUGGUCUCCUGGCUCACCCAUCAAAUCCAACUGCUUUAUCUAGAAAAUACUUUUCUCCAUUCUCAUUUCCCUUUGCUUUCCCACUCACCUCUGUUUUUGUUUCUGUUUUAUUUUGUUCCAGACACCCUUUUCAGGGAAGUAGAUCAGGGAGGCCCAAGAGAUUAGGCCUGGGUGGGCUGCUAUCGCUUAAGAACACGUCUGCCUCUGGGGCUCCUCCCUAACAGCUGGCCUCUGGAGCUGGGAGAUGCAGCUGCCUGGCAGUCUGCAGAGGCAGAUUGUGUUGUUACGUGCUGGUCACCGCCUUGAGCCUUAAACCACAGUCAGCAAUGAACCUGGAGGCAGGGCAUCUCUGGGGAUGAUCGACCGCAUCUGCUCAGGUUCUUGCAGGGCAGGGCAGGCAGAGAUGUGUGUUUGGAGCCAGAAAGCCUUCCUGCCAACCUGCCAUGCCUCAGUUUCCCUAUCUGAACCACCUUCAUAAAAACAACUUACGGCUCUCAGAGCAGCACAUUUGUAAAAACCUGAAAAAUAUAAAGAAAAACGUCACUCACAUUUCUCCCAUGAACAUUUUCCUAUUUUAUGUAUCUUUUAUGUAACUGAAUCACAUUGCAUAUACAAUUAUGUGUUCCAUUUUUAAACAAUAAGCUUCCCUUGUUUUAAAAGUAAUAAUCCAUGUUUAUUAUGUGUUAUUGCAUAGAAAUUUCAGACACAAAAAAAGAAAGGAAAAAUGACUCCUUAUUGCUCCAUUGAGAAAUAAUAAAUAUGAAUAUUAUUCUGAUAAAUAUCUUUCUGGUCUCUUUAACAAGCAUAAUAUACCGAAAGGAAAAAAAAGCUCAGUAGAUUCAUACUUUACUUACUUUUUUGUAACUUUCCUUUUUCACAUAACUCAGUAAGAACAAUUUUUUUUUUGAGAUGGGGUCUCACUCUGUUGCCAAGGCUGGAGUGCAUUGGCACAGUCUCAGCUCACUGCCACCUCCGUCUCCCGGAUUCAAGCAAUUCUCCUGCCUCAGCCCCCCGAGCAGCUGGGAUUACAGGUGUGUGCCACCACACCCGGCUAAUUUUUGUAUUUUUAGUAGAGACAGGGUUUCACCAUGUUGGCCAGGCUGGUCUCGAACUCCUGACGUCAGGCGAGCCACCCGCCUCGGCCUACCAAAGUAAUUUUUAUAUCAUUAAGCGUUCUCUUGCCUUAAUUAUGAUGACAGCAACAUACAGAUGUGCCAUAUCUUAUUCAACCAAUGUCCUAUCGUUAGACCUUUGUUUUGGCUCUCAAUUUUCCCCAUCAUACACAGGGCUCAUUGUAGCUAAAUCUUUUGAUUCCUCCUGUCCUGCUUCUGAAUCCCCUGGGGCUGUCCCAUGCAUAGAUUAUGUCCAGACUGCCCCUGACACUGUGCACAAAUGUGCUUUGAGAAAUAUCCACUAUACUAUGCACAUGUGAGGGGUUAUCAUUGUUUGUUACUUAAUUCAGAGACUUAGUGGUAUUGGUAGAAAUGGUGUAUAUAUUAAGCAAAGAAUAACAAUUUUAAACACCACUUACAUGGUACUUCCUAUGUGCCAGGUACUGUUCCAGGUGCCUCAUGUAAUUAUAUUUUAAAUAUACUUUAUUUUUUAAGAGCAGUUUUAGGUUCACAGCAAAAUUGAGCAGAAAGCAUAAGGUUUCUAUUCACUCCUGACUCCUGCACAGGCAUAGUCUCCCAAACUUUCAACAGUCCCCUCCAGAGUGGUGCAUUUGUUACAAUCAAUGAACCUUUAUCAACACAUCAUCACCCAUAGUUUACAUUAGAGUUCACCCUAGGCGUACAUGUUCAAUGGGAUUGGACAAACACAUAACGACAGGUACCCACCCUGAUCGUAUCACACAGAGUAGUUUCAGUGCCCUAAAAAUCCUCCCAGAUUCACCUCUUCAUCCCUCCCUCCGUCCUAACCCCUGACAACCACUGAUCUUUUUGUUUGUCUUCAGAGUUUUGCCUUUUCUGGAAUGUCAUAUAGUUGGGAUCAUACAGUAUGUAGCCUUUGCAGAUUGGCUUCUUUCACCUAAUUAUAUGCAUUUCAGUUUCUUUCAUGCCUUUUCGUGGCUCGAUAGCUCAUUUAGUUUUGGCACCAGAUAAUAUUCCAUUGUCUGGAUGUUCCACUGCUUCACAUGAUUUCAACGUAUUUUAAUCCUAUGGCAACCCAAUGAGGAAGCACUAUUAAUUAAUUUAGCUUUUAGAUGAGGACACUGAAGCAUGGAGAGGUGAAGCAUCUUACUCAAGGUCACAGACCUAGGAAGGGGUGGAGCUCAGAUUCUGUUUACAUCAGUCUGGCUUCAGAGUUUAUGCCUCUCUUAAGUAGCCAAUGCCCCUGAGAGCAAGGUACUGGGAAAUGUGGGGAGGAGUGGAGCUGUAGGGUGGGUAGGCAGGAGGAAAGAUUUUGGUGUUCCUGUGGAAUGAUGUUGUAUAGAGGGCUGACCGUCAUCUCAAAGGAGCUCAGCAGCCUCGAGUCUUUGUCUCAAAGAUGCUGGCAUGGAGGAUUUAAAACUAAAGUUACUAUCUUUUGGAGAUGCACACUGUAGAUUUAAGGAUAAAGUGACAUGACCUGUUUUGUUUGCUUCAAAAUAGUUCUUUUGUGGGGAGCAGUAAUGAAUGAAUGAAGUACUAGGGAUAUCUAAUCAGCCACGAGUUGAGUUUGUUGGAACUGAGUGGUGAAUAUAUGCAGGCUCUCUCUUCUCUUGUAUUUGGCUACAUUUUUCCAUGCUAAAAUGUUAAAAUAAAAAAAAGGAGGGGAGACAUAUUGUACCACUGGGUAGUUUAGGAAUGCCUUUUGCAGGGAUAUUCCAAUCCAGAGUGUAAAGAUUCAGAGUAGAGUAGAAAGACACACCCAACUCUACUGCAGCAUUCGAAAAAGCUUUGCUAGUUUCAGUUAGUUUGGGGAAACAUCCCUUAAGGGCCCAGCUUCUCCUAAGGAACUUGUGGAGUGAGCAUGAUAAAUGCAUUCAUUCAUUCAAGAAUGGUUGUUUUUCAUCUUGAGCCACAGGGUGAGCCAUGAGAGAUGCAGCUGAGUUUUGAGAGGUGAGACAGGUGCAGGCGAAAAGUUACCUGACAGUAAGGUAACUGCUCAGCAGUGCUCUCAAGCCAUAGAGAAGGCUGAGGUGGGAAGGGAAGGGGGCUUGGAGUGCGACUGGUUCACAACUCUGCCCCCUGCCCAGGGCUUCCUGGAGUUCAGGGAGGAAAGAGAGGUAAGAUGCCCAGAGCAGAUCUCUUCUCCCCACUCACAUCUUUGCAUUGGAGAGUCAUGGGCUGAGGCCCACCCAGCUGAGCCUGGGUCCCAGGCAGGAUCCAGGGUGCUGACACCCUUCCCACCCCACCCAUCUAGUUUUAGAACCCUGGCCUUGUGCUCCACUGCACACUUUGCAAAAGGAGACCUUCUUUCCAGCUGCAUGAACCAAAGAAAGGGAGAGAAAGCACCUCUCCAACACCUUCUUGCUGCCUUAUUUGUGGGCAAAAGACAAAGCAGGCCAUUUUGUAUUUCUUCUGUGACUGAAUUUACCAGGAAGUAUAGCAGUGUAAGGAGAUAUAGGCAAUCAAUUCCAAAAUGAUUUUUACAUUCUAAAAGAGAGAUUAUAGAAAACAAAUCCUCCCCAAAAGGUGAAGGGGGCUGGGCCCAAUGACAAUGAACUUGUUGAAGAAACUUCUAUGUGGCUGGGGAAGAUCCUGGCACUCUUAGGCCUCCCAUGCUCCUCUCCUGCCAAUAGAAGCUCCAUGAGCUUCCACCCACCCCAAUCCCCUCCUCCCUUCCACCAAAGCCAGAGUUUAAUUCCUAACACAGCUCGCUGUGAUCUAUGCCAGGGAUUGAGGGUGACAACAACAACAGCAACAACGAUAUUGAGAUGCAUAGCUCUAUAAGUAAGCCUCCUUCUGGAUUUCAAGCAAGGCUGAUUUGCUAAUAUUCCUGAUCUUUCCAGUCUGGAGGCAGCAGGAGAGGGCAGAUCAGAUGCAGCUAGGGAGGCUGCGAUUUCCAAUUUCUUAAUCUGCCCCCUCUGCUGUGGUCUAC